RNAcentral lists this ribosomal RNA (429 nucleotides) under Gemmatimonadota bacterium. Its description in RNAcentral is "Gemmatimonadetes bacterium partial 16S ribosomal RNA". It matches the Rfam family "Bacterial small subunit ribosomal RNA", at positions 355 to 776 of the family's 1533-position model. Lineage: Bacteria; Pseudomonadati; Gemmatimonadota. The record is from RNAcentral.
UAGGGAAUCUUCGGCAAUGGACGAAAGUCUGACCGAGCAACGCCGCGUGAGUGAAGAAGGUUUUCGGAUCGUAAAACUCUGUUGUUAGAGAAGAACAAGGACGUUAGUAACUGAACGUCCCCUGACGGUAUCUAACCAGAAAGCCACGGCUAACUACGUGCCAGCAGCCGCGGUAAUACGUAGGUGGCAAGCGUUGUCCGGAUUUAUUGGGCGUAAAGCGAGCGCAGGCGGUUUCUUAAGUCUGAUGUGAAAGCCCCCGGCUCAACCGGGGAGUGUCAUUGGAGACUGUGAGACUUGAGUGCAGAAGAGGAGAGUGGAAUUCCAUGUGUAGCGGUGAAAUGCGUAGAUAUAUGGAGGAACACCAGUGGCGAAGGCGGCUCUCUGGUCUGUAACUGACGCUGAGGCUCGAAAGCGUGGGGAGCAAACAGG